Molecule: small nuclear RNA, 164 nt
Organism: Suncus etruscus (white-toothed pygmy shrew)
Lineage: Eukaryota; Metazoa; Chordata; Mammalia; Eulipotyphla; Soricidae
Product: U1 spliceosomal RNA
Exons: 1
Source: RefSeq, a predicted model, not a curated record
AUACUUACCUGGCAGGGGAGAUACCAUGAUCACGAAGGUGGUUUCCCCAGGGUGAGGCUCACCCAUUGCACUUUGGUUGUCCUGACCCCUGCGAUUUCCCAAAACAUGGGAAACUCGGCUGCAUAAUUUGUGGUAGUGGGGGACUGCAUUCAUGCUCUCCCCUG